CCUACGGGAGGCAGCAGUGGGGGAUAUUGCACAAUGGGGGAAACCCUGAUGCAGCGACGCCGCGUGGGUGAAGAAGCGCCUCGGCGCGUAAAGCCCUGUCAGCAGGGAAGAAAAUGACGGUACCUGAAGAAGAAGCCCCGGCUAACUACGUGCCAGCUGCCGCGGUAAUACGUAGGGGGCAAGCGUUCUCCGGAUUUACUGGGUGUAAAGGGGGCGCAGACGGCGAUGCAAGCCAGGAGGGAAAGCCCGGGGCCCAACCCCGGGAGUGCUCUUGGAACUGCGUGGCUAGAGUGCAGGAGGGGCAGGCGGAAUUCCUGGUGUAGCGGUGAAAUGCGUAGAUAUCAGGAGGAACACCGGUGGCGAAGGCGGCCUGCUGGACUGCAACUGACGUUGAGGCCCGAAAGCGUGGGGAGCAAACAGGAUUAGAUACCCCAGUAGUC
Molecule: ribosomal RNA, 440 nt
Filed under: uncultured bacterium
Lineage: Bacteria
Description: partial 16S ribosomal RNA
Rfam family: Bacterial small subunit ribosomal RNA
Source: RNAcentral